This 426-nucleotide ribosomal RNA is filed under the name uncultured bacterium. RNAcentral's name for it is "partial 16S ribosomal RNA". It matches the Rfam family "Bacterial small subunit ribosomal RNA", at positions 359 to 776 of the family's 1533-position model. The record is from RNAcentral.
GAAUAUUGCGCAAUGGACGAAAGUCUGACGCAGCAACGCCGCGUGAGUGAAGAAGGCUGUUGGGGUGUAAAGCUCUUUCGGCGGGGGAGAAGGGGUAGGGGGUUAAUAGUAUCCGACUCUGAUGGUACCAGAAGAAGAAACACCGGCUAACUGCGUGCCAGCAGCCGCGGUAAUACGAAGGGUGCAAGCGUUGUUCGGAAUUACUGGGCGUAAAGGGUUUGUAGGCUGGAAUAUAAGUCAAGUGUGAAAUCCCCGAGCUAAACUUGGGACGUGCAUUUGAAACUGUGUUUCUUGAGUAUCGUAGAGGGUGGUGGAAUUGUAGGUGUAGGAGUGACAUCCGUAGAGAUCUGCAGGAACAUCAGAGGCGAAGGCGACCACCUGGCCGAUUACUGACGCUGAGGAACGAAAGCGUGGGGAGCAAACAGG